This 563-nucleotide small RNA is filed under the name Pan troglodytes (chimpanzee). RNAcentral describes it as "processed transcript". Lineage: Eukaryota; Metazoa; Chordata; Mammalia; Primates; Hominidae. The record is from RNAcentral.
AUUAUCCUCCUUGAUGAAAGAGCUCCCAGCCAGCACUGGCCACUCCAGAGCCUCCUCCCCAGAUGCUGCCAGGGUCCCUGAAGAGGGAAGACACGCGGAAACAGGCUUGCACCCAGACACGACACCAUGCAUCUCCUCGGCCCCUGGCUCCUGCUCCUGGAGCCCUAGAUCGUGACCUGGAAAGCUUCAUCCUGUUCCACAAUCCUGAGUAUAACAAGAACACCUCGAAGUUUGAUGGGACAAGACUCUAUGAAAGCACAAAGGAUGGGAAGGUUCCUUCUGAGCAGAAAAGGGUGCAAUUCCUGGGAGACAAGAAUAAGAACUGCACACUGAGUAUCCACCCGGUGCACGUCAAUGACAGUGGUCAGCUGGGGCUGAGGAUGGAGUCCAAGACUGCGAAAUGGAUGGAACGAAUACACCUCAAUGUCUCUGAAAGGCCUUUUCCACCUCAUAUCCAGCUCCCUCCAGAAAUUCAAGAGUCCCAGGAAGUCACUCUGACCUGCUUGCUGAAUUUCUCCUGCUAUGGGUAUCCGAUCCAAUUGCAGUGGCUCCUAGAGGGGGUU